CUAAUGAAUGCUUAAAUUUAUGUCAAUUAUAAUAUUAUAUCAAUUUUCAAUCAAUCGACAAUUAGAAUUUACUGACAUGUCUUUUUGAAAAAUUCUCUCUCUUUUUGGAAGAGAGAGAAAUUUCUCUCAUUUGGUUGCUUAGCCUUUUUCUCUUGGAACUGCCGAGGAGAUUUUCUUCUGGCUUUUUCUGCCCUUCGGGGUAGGCGAGGUGAUCGAUGUCAAUUUAUCAAAUCAGGCGUAAGGUUGCUCUCCUUCGUCUCUGUUCGGUAUGCAUAGUUUUGAGUUUGGUUUUGCAGAUACUGUGCAAGGUGAGAACAUAUAUUUAGUUCCCUGUGUAGAUUUAAUAAUAGCCAAUCGUUGAUAUUCUGUAAAAAUAGAAUGUAAUAUGUAGGGAGUCUACCUGAAUUGUUUGGCUACAAUAGACUGAAACGCCUUGGACCUCUACAUUUAAGGCCAUCUUCUUCUCUGGAAAUGUUGCAGUCGAUUGGUUUUGGAGACUUUAGUCUAGUGGCGACUGGAUUUCGGUUUGAGCAUUGGAGGUCUGAUGGUAGUACUGUUGUUUGCUCUUGAAGAUCUUUAUCUUUCUCCUUAGUUGCUGCACAACCAGCCUGGGAUGUCCGAUGAGGCUGAUCAAGUGUUUUUGGUGGUUUUCUUUUCCUGUGUGCUUUCGGUUGGUGGUUUUGUUAGCUGGCUGCACUAUUUUCUAAGAUUAGUGCUUUACGAAUUUAGACUGAUUUUUUUAGUUAAGUUAUUGGCUUUGACCUUUGUGUAUUUGACUAUGUAGUUUUUGUUGUAUAUAUCCUUUAUGACAGGUGUUUUUUUUAUUAUUU
This 830-nucleotide unclassified non-coding RNA is filed under the name Hevea brasiliensis (rubber tree). Lineage: Eukaryota; Viridiplantae; Streptophyta; Magnoliopsida; Malpighiales; Euphorbiaceae. The record is from RNAcentral.